UUAAAAGUGAUUAAAACUUUGUCAAAGAGGUGAGGCAAAUGCACACAUCAUAGAGAGCCAAGUGUAGGGGGUCUCUGAAUCACAGCAGUCAAAAGAAAAGUGCUUUAGGAGAUCAAGAAUGAGAUUGCUUCCAGCUGGAUAAAUGCAGACAGAUUUCAAAGGGAACUAUUUGAAAGUGAGUGCCAGAAGAAUGAGGACCUUCCCCACGUGACUGCUGUCGCCUUGUCACACUCAAGAAAUUUAACAUUGGCAGAAGAAAUCUAAUAUUUAAAUUUCCCCAACUGUGCCAGUAAUAGUCCUGUAUCUUUUUAUCUUCCAAUCUGGGGAUGCACUCAGGGACCUUGCAUUGCAUUUACUGUCGCAUCUCUGAGUCUGCUAAACAGACCUCCCCCCCACCCUGCCAGUAUCCUCCUGUCACUUCCUGUCCCCUGGUCAUUGUCACGAAUAUGCACACAACAACCACCAGGCCUAGAGGUGAUGCCCCUUGAUGUCCCCUUUACCCUUUAGACUCACACAGCUCAGGGCUUGCCUCCCUCCCUGCCCUCACCCCCCCGACCAAUGCCUGUGUAGGGACCCUUCUGUCUGUGUAGGGACCCUUCUGUCCCCUCUGUCGCCUGAGCAGACAAGGAGCUUCCAAGAGGCCGGAGGUCCCAGUUUGCUUUUCCCCUGUGUUCCCAGCAAUGACACAGGGUUGAGACAGCUGGGGCUGGGGGUUUAUAGAGUCAGUGGACGUUACCCAUCCAGGCAGGAGGCCUGGAAGGGCCGGGCCAGCCCAGGAGCGGCAGCAGAGCAAGACACCACAUUUUCUUUCCUGCCCUCAGGACAGCCACUCACUGGUGGAAGGCCUCAGGUGUGGAGGCCCGGAGUCUGCUCAAGCUCUAUGGGAUCCGCUUCGACAUCCUCGUCACUGGGCAGAUCACCUUCUUCUGUGACCUGCUACUGUUGUACGUGGAUGAAGAAGCCCAUUUCUACUGGAGUACCAAGUAUGAGGAGGCAAAGGCCCCGAAGGUGACCACCAACCCUGAGCAGACAGAGCCAGCUUCUACACCCCCGCACGUGGCUGCCCAGGUGUCUUAGAGGGGGCCCAGUCUGGGAACCAGACACCAACACCAGAGUGGCCCAUGCCCAGGCUCUGGCCCCCACUCACUGGCCUGUUCCUGAGGCUGUUUCCUGCUGGUUGCCGGGUGGGGACCCCAUCUUGGGGAGCUGCUGGAUAAAGCCCCAGCAGGACCAGGGUCGGGGGUGGGGGGAGAAUUACACCCUUCCACUCCCAGACAGACUGACCCUUUCCUGACUCCAGCUUCAGCAGGGUGCUGCCUGGGGGGGGCCACAGAAGCCAGUUUUGUAGAGACCUGCAGCAGAACAGGAGCCACGGAGAAGGGGAGACCCUGGGGCACCCAUGUGGCAGGGUAGUGGGCCAGUGGGGCUCCUGCUGUGUCUGGGUCUAGAGAACUCUCUCCCAGUCCCCGUCAGCAGUGUUCCCAGCGGUGGCCUGCUCACCAGCUGUCAGCAGCAGCCCUCCCACUGGCUGUGGCAGACUCCAGCCUCCAGCCCCCCUCCAUCCGCCAGCACCUCUAUCGUAGGUAGAGCCCCUCCGUCUCAGCUGUGCUGCACCGGGGGCUGUGCAACCAGAGUCUGAAGCAAGGUAGAAAGAAGCCUGACAAGAGGGGUCAGGCUGCUCCGGUGUUGGAUUGCCUGGGGCAACCUACCCAACUCUGAAUGAAGAGUGAGUAGGCAGAUAAUCCAACCCCUACGGACCCCCAGGCAAGGACACAGGCACCCUUUGGUCUCACACUGGCCCAGUUGAUGAGCAUCAGCCCCUCCCUGGUGGUGGCCCUCAGGCUAUGGGGUUUGGGAUAGGGAGGAGAGACUGGAGGGCCUGAGAUGGUGGUCACUGGGUCCUUUGGGAUCUUCUGUAAGGCUCCUCAUUAACCACCCCUCCCCAGCCCAACCCCUAGAACCUGCUCACUGGAGCCAUGGGAGUAGGGAGGCUGUACAUCUGGAAUUCACUGCUACCCAAGGUCAUAGCUAAGAACCUGUCAGGGCAUCUGCUUGUCCCAGCCUGAGGCAACUGCAUGCAGGAGACCUUGAACAUAACCCUAGGUAGAGCCCAGUGGCUGGAAGGAAUGUCCCUCACAAAGGACACAAAGGUGCCCCGCAGGCUGGCUUGGUAUCUUUCUGGAGUCUGAUUCCUGCCUGCUGGAGAAUUUCCCCUGCCCCAGAGUCCCACAGUCAGGAGGGGAGGAACAGGGGCUGCAAGAGCCAAACUCCCUGUGGUCCCAGGGCAGAGGCAGGAAUUUGGGAGAACCCACCCGAGGGAGGCAAGGGCCUUCUCUCUCAUGGGUCCCUGGUGACCAAGGGUGAGCUGGCAGCUUGGCAGCGGAGCCACAAAGACCAGUUGGGGAGGGCCAGGGCUGGGGCUCAGGCUGGGCUAGCAUCUGGAAUCAUCUGGCACCUGGAGCCUCAGCAAAGCCUUGGGGUCUCCACUGCUUCUCAAUCCCCAGAGACGUGUCCAUGGGGAGGCAGGUUCAGGAGAGCCAAGGUGAGAGAACAUGGCUCUGAGGCCUGGUUAUUGGAGUGGGGUCACAUGUACCUGGUUGUGCUCAGGGCUCUAAGUGGUCAUAGCUGCAGAAAGUCAAGGAGUAAAGCCUGCUCAAACCAGCAGCUUCCUGUGUAGUCCUUAUAGGCAAGAACGGGGAGUUGGAAGCAUCUAUGAUGGACAUAGCAUGGCUUUAGGGAGACCAGUGGGGAAAGGGGAAGGAUGGGCCUGCGGACCCCCACCUCACAGCCACCAGCUGGGCUCAGCGGUACUUGGAGCAGGCCCAGGCCUUGUGCAUCCGUACGCAGGAGUGUAUACCAUACAUGUGUGUAAUAUCCUAAGCCUUUAUCGCAAAGCCCUUGAGGGAAGGGGGAGAGUACCAGCUGUGACAGCUAGAAAGCUGUGGCCAGGGCCUGAGGCUGGAAGCAGCAACACGUUGCCUCAGUCUGCAUGUGGGUGUGCAUCGUCAAGAUGGCCAUGCAGGCACGUGCCCCAGAGGAGCCCUGGGCAGGCCUCGGGGACAUGCUAUGCUUUCUGGGAGCCUUGGGAACCCAGGAGGACCCUGGAACUCCACUGCCCUUUGUAGGCGACCUUUUUGGGGCCCAGGUUCUGCUCUCUGGAUCUCCCCCUCCAAGGGACAUGUGGGGAGCCUGUGAUGGGGGGAGCCUGACUCUGCCCUUUUCAUGGUCCCCUCCUCUCCUGGUGUGUGUGUGGGUGUGUACAUAGCUCCGCUCUGAGCUGGGCAGAGGGCACCAGCCUGAGGGCAGGACUCCAGGGCCCAGGCCGGUGGUGUCUCUGAUUCAGGGUUGUCCCAGAGCUGGUGCCUCCCUCUUGCCAAAACUUAGCAUCUUUACUGUGGUUUGGGGACAAUCCUCUGGUUCUUGGGGGGGGGGCAGGAAAGCACUCAGCUCCACAAGGAAUGAAAUGGUGGACACAGCAGCAGGGCACAUGGCUGGCCAAGACGUUAUUAUUGUGGAUAUCUGGGGGCUGUGGGCCUCUCCCCUGC
This 3545-nucleotide long non-coding RNA is filed under the name Zalophus californianus (California sea lion). RNAcentral describes it as "lncRNA (ENSZCAG00015022962.1)". Lineage: Eukaryota; Metazoa; Chordata; Mammalia; Carnivora; Otariidae. The record is from RNAcentral.